RNAcentral lists this ribosomal RNA (1608 nucleotides) under Salmonella enterica. RNAcentral describes it as "partial 23S ribosomal RNA". It matches the Rfam family "Bacterial large subunit ribosomal RNA", at positions 711 to 2215 of the family's 2925-position model. Lineage: Bacteria; Pseudomonadati; Pseudomonadota; Gammaproteobacteria; Enterobacterales; Enterobacteriaceae. The record is from RNAcentral.
AGACCCGAAACCCGGUGAUCUAGCCAUGGGCAGGUUGAAGGUUGGGUAACACUAACUGGAGGACCGAACCGACUAAUGUUGAAAAAUUAGCGGAUGACCUGUGGCUGGGGGUGAAAGGCCAAUCAAACCGGGAGAUAGCUGGUUCUCCCCGAAAGCUAUUUAGGUAGCGCCUCGUGAAUUCAUCUCCGGGGGUAGAGCACUGUUUCGGCUAGGGGGCCAUCCCGGCUUACCAACCCGAUGCAAACUGCGAAUACCGGAGAAUGUUAUCACGGGAGACACACGGCGGGUGCUAACGUCCGUCGUGAAGAGGGAAACAACCCAGACCGCCAGCUAAGGUCCCAAAGUCAUGGUUAAGUGGGAAACGAUGUGGGAAGGCCCAGACAGCCAGGAUGUUGGCUUAGAAGCAGCCAUCAUUUAAAGAAAGCGUAAUAGCUCACUGGUCGAGUCGGCCUGCGCGGAAGAUGUAACGGGGCUAAACCAUGCACCGAAGCUGCGGCAGCGAACGUAUCACCCAAGACAACUUUACGGAGUUGACGAUUGACGGAGCGAAGCGACGUCAAAGCGUUCAUUAAAGUCGAGUUGGCUUAGGGAUACGUUCGUUGGGUAGGGGAGCGUUCUGUAAGCCUGUGAAGGUGGCCUGUGAGGGUUGCUGGAGGUAUCAGAAGUGCGAAUGCUGACAUAAGUAACGAUAAAGCGGGUGAAAAGCCCGCUCGCCGGAAGACCAAGGGUUCCUGUCCAACGUUAAUCGGGGCAGGGUGAGUCGACCCCUAAGGCGAGGCCGAAAGGCGUAGUCGAUGGGAAACGGGUUAAUAUUCCCGUACUUGGUGUUACUGCGAAGGGGGGACGGAGAAGGCUAUGUUGGCCGGGCGACGGUUGUCCCGGUUUAAGCGUGUAGGUGUGUGUUCCAGGUAAAUCCGGUUCACUUUAACACUGAGGCGUGAUGACGAGGCACUACGGUGCUGAAGCAACAAAUGCCCUGCUUCCAGGAAAAGCCUCUAAGCAUCAGGUAACAUCAAAUCGUACCCCAAACCGACACAGGUGGUCAGGUAGAGAAUACCAAGGCGCUUGAGAGAACUCGGGUGAAGGAACUAGGCAAAAUGGUGCCGUAACUUCGGGAGAAGGCACGCUGACACGUAGGUGAAGUGAUUUACUCAUGGAGCUGAAGUCAGUCGAAGAUACCAGCUGGCUGCAACUGUUUAUUAAAAACACAGCACUGUGCAAACACGAAAGUGGACGUAUACGGUGUGACGCCUGCCCGGUGCCGGAAGGUUAAUUGAUGGGGUCAGCGCAAGCGAAGCUCCUGAUCGAAGCCCCGGUAAACGGCGGCCGUAACUAUAACGGUCCUAAGGUAGCGAAAUUCCUUGUCGGGUAAGUUCCGACCUGCACGAAUGGCGUAAUGAUGGCCAGGCUGUCUCCACCCGAGACUCAGUGAAAUUGAACUCGCUGUGAAGAUGCAGUGUACCCGCGGCAAGACGGAAAGACCCCGUGAACCUUUACUAUAGCUUGACACUGAACAUUGAGCCUUGAUGUGUAGGAUAGGUGGGAGGCUUUGAAGUGUGGACGCCAGUCUGCAUGGAGCCGACCUUGAAAUACCACCCUUUAAUGUUU